AGUUAAAAAGCUCGUAGUUGGAUUUCGGGAUGGGCCAGUCGGUCUGCCGUGAGGUAAGUUACUGGCUGGUCUGUUCUUCCUCGCAAAGAAUGCGUGUGCUCUUUACUGAGUGGGCGUAGGAUUUGCGACGUUUACUUUGAAAAAAUUAGAGUGUUCAAAGCAGGCUUACCGCUUGAAUACAUGAGCAUGGAAUAAUGGAAUAGGACUUUGGUCUUAUUUUGUUGGUUUCUAAGACUGAGGUAAUGACUAAGAGGGACAGUUGGGGGCAUUCGUAUUUCGUUGUCAGAGGUGAAAUUCUUGGAUUUACGAAAGACGAACAACUGCGAAAGCAUUUGCCAAGAAUGUUUUCAUUAAUCAAGAACGAAAGUUAGAGGCUCGAAGACGAUCAGAUACCGUCCUAGUUCUAACCAUAAACGAUGCCGACUAGGGAUCAGCGAGCGUUAUUGUAUGACCUCGUUGGCACCUUAUGGGAAACCAAAGUUUUUGGGUUCCGGGGGAAGUAUGGUUGCAAAGCUGAAACUUAAAGGAAUUGACGGAAGGGCCACCACCAGGAGUGGAGCCUGCGGCUUAAUUUGACUCAACACGGGGAAACUCACCA
Molecule: ribosomal RNA, 598 nt
Filed under: uncultured marine eukaryote
Lineage: Eukaryota
Description: SSU rRNA
Rfam family: Eukaryotic small subunit ribosomal RNA
Source: RNAcentral